UAGCAUAUCAAUAAGCGGAGGAAAAGAAACCAACAGGGAUUGCCUCAGUAACGGCGAGUGAAGCGGCAAGAGCUCAAAUUUGAAAGCUGGCCCCUUCGGGGUCCGCAUUGUAAUUUGCAGAGGAUGCUUCGGGAGCGGCCCCCAUCUAAGUGCCCUGGAACGGGCCGUCAUAGAGGGUGAGAAUCCCGUCUGGGAUGGGGUGCCCGCGCCCGUGUGAAGCUCCUUCGACGAGUCGAGUUGUUUGGGAAUGCAGCUCUAAAUGGGUGGUAAAUUUCAUCUAAAGCUAAAUACUGGCCGGAGACCGAUAGCGCACAAGUAGAGUGAUCGAAAGAUGAAAAGCACUUUGAAAAGAGAGUUAAACAGCACGUGAAAUUGUUGAAAGGGAAGCGCUUGCGACCAGACUCGCUCGCGGGGUUCAGCCGGCCUUCGGGCCGGUGUACUUCCCCGCGGGCGGGCCAGCGUCGGUUUGGGCGGCCGGUCAAAGGCCCUCGGAAUGUAACGCCCCCCGGGGCGUCUUAUAGCCGAGGGUGCCAUGCGGCCAGCCCGGACCGAGGAACGCGCUUCGGCUCGGACGCUGGCAUAAUGGUCGUAAGCGACCCGUCUUGAAACACGGACCAAGGAGUCUAACAUCUACGCGAGUGUUCGGGUGUCAAACCCGUGCGCGCAGUGAAAGCGAACGGAGGUGGGAACCCCUCGGGGUGCACCAUCGACCGAUCCUGAUGUCUUCGGAUGGAUUUGAGUAAGAGCGUAGCUGUUGGGACCCGAAAGAUGGUGAACUAUGCCUGAAUAGGGCGAAGCCAGAGGAAACUCUGGUGGAGGCUCGCAGCGGUUCUGACGUGCAAAUCGAUCGUCAAAUUUGGGUAUAGGGGCGAAAGACUAAUCGAACCAUCUAGUAGCUGGUUCCUGCC
RNAcentral lists this ribosomal RNA (908 nucleotides) under Penicillium simplicissimum. RNAcentral describes it as "LSU rRNA". It matches the Rfam family "Eukaryotic large subunit ribosomal RNA", at positions 36 to 962 of the family's 3401-position model. Lineage: Eukaryota; Fungi; Ascomycota; Eurotiomycetes; Eurotiales; Aspergillaceae. The record is from RNAcentral.